RNAcentral lists this ribosomal RNA (248 nucleotides) under uncultured bacterium. RNAcentral describes it as "partial 16S ribosomal RNA". It matches the Rfam family "Bacterial small subunit ribosomal RNA", at positions 524 to 771 of the family's 1533-position model. The record is from RNAcentral.
UACGUAGGGGGCUAGCGUUGUCCGGAAUCAUUGGGCGUAAAGAGCGCGUAGGCGGCUAGAUAAGUCCGGUGUGAAAGUCACAGGCUCAACCUGUGAAUGCCGCUGGAAACUGUCUGGCUAGAGUCCGGAAGGGGCGAGUGGAAUUCCUGGUGUAGCGGUGAAAUGCGCAGAUAUCAGGAGGAACACCAAUGGCGAAGGCAGCUCGCUGGGACGGUACUGACGCUGAGGCGCGAAAGCGUGGGGAGCAA